UGCUAGGACAUUUGUCUUAUAUUUUUUAAAUGUCUUGGAUAUAUGUGCCUUCUGGGGCUCUGUUUCCUUAAAUUCACCCUCUCACUGCAGACGCCAGUUCCUGGAACAGCAACGUGAUCCUCCCAAAGGAGUCAGUUUGCAUGAGGCUCGGCCUGACAUGCCACCUCUUCCCAUUGAGCACUUACGACUCCAGGCCUCUGGCUGCCCACGUGGGGCUCUGCGCUAGAGGGGCUCCAGGGACAGGCAGUUGUUCUAAGCUACGGCUUCUGCUCUACGGAGCAGGGAACGUGAAUGCUGACUUGCAGUUCAGAGGGGCGCCCCGAGGCACCUCAAGGCGCUCAUGGAGCAUCGCACGGGUAACGCCAGUGAGCGCGGUGCUGCGGGGGACACGCCGGUGCUGAGCAGGGCAGAAGAACCGUUCACGUGAAAACGGCAUGAUCCCUGUUUAUCCUACAGAGUCACCCAGAGGACUGGCUACAGAUGCAGACGGAGCGUCCUUCACUGGAGAGACCUCAUCAGACCACAGGUCAAGCCUACAUCCAGCAACCACCUGCCCGACCCUUUGACCAAUUGUUGAAAGCCUUAGAAGACAGAAUCCCCAGCCUUUCCAUGUGCCUCUCUGAGGACGCCCACACUUUCCUUUCUGUAAGGAGGGGCUGCUGGGAGCGCUGGUUUGGGCCUGCGGUUCCCGUCGCCAGGGUGACCCGGACGGGACCGCAGCUUUAGAAUCUGCUCUGGGGUGAGUAGCCUGCCUGAAAAUCUCCAUUCUUCGGGGAGUUCUCAGAACAUACUCUCACUCCACCCAUGCUGCACAGCUCCCCCAAACCCUGGGGUGGUAGGGGCUCGUGUCCACGCCUUUGCAGAUCCACGCGGACACGGGACGCCAGGUGACCCUGGCUUCAGGGCUUGGCAGGGCAGCCUGCCCUAGUUCUCUGCCCUUGCCUGUUGCCAGUUGCCUGCAGGCGGCUGCCCCUCCUUUCUGCUCUCACUGUAAUGAGUUCCUCCCCCACCUGCGCUCGGCCGACCUGCUCGAGAACCUUCCCGCUCAGAGUCAGGGGCCCUCAGCCGCCUGGUGUGCAGGGAGGGGGCUCCCCCGACGCGGCUGCCUGCAGACACGGCGAGGACACUACCGGG
Manis javanica (Malayan pangolin) is the source of this 1134-nucleotide non-coding RNA. The record is from RefSeq and is a predicted model, not a curated record. NCBI's taxonomy places the organism in Eukaryota, Metazoa, Chordata, Mammalia, Pholidota, Manidae.